GACGAACGCUGGCGGCGUGCUUAACACAUGCAAGUCGAGCGGUAAGGCCCUUUCGGGGGUACACGAGCGGCGAACGGGUGAGUAACACGUGGGUGACCUGCCCUUAGCUCUGGGAUAAAGCCUGGGAAACUGGGUCUAAUACCGGAUAUGACUCCAUGACGCAUGUUGUGGGGUGGAAAGCCUUGUGCGGCUAGGGAUGGGCCUGCGGCCUAUCAGCUUGUUGGUGGGGUGAUGGCCUACCAAGGCGACGACGGGUAGCCGGCCUGAGAGGGCGACCGGCCACACUGGGACUGAGACACGGCCCAGACUCCUACGGGAGGCAGCAGUGGGGAAUCUUGCGCAAUGGGCGAAAGCCUGACGCAGCGACGCCGCGUGGGGAUGACGGCCU
This 388-nucleotide ribosomal RNA is filed under the name uncultured bacterium. Its description in RNAcentral is "bacterial SSU rRNA". It matches the Rfam family "Bacterial small subunit ribosomal RNA", at positions 28 to 417 of the family's 1533-position model. The record is from RNAcentral.